UUGCACUGCAGUGGUUGCCAUAGCAAAAGCGAUUACUCUCCGAGUUUCUACUUUCUAGCAAAGACUGAGGCAUCUAUCUUGUUUCAGAUGUAAAAUAAACAAGGCCAUCGCCAUGCAGAAUGUUUAGUAGGAGACAUUUCCACUAUCAUGUACCUGCUGAUGACUAGGCUGGAAUUAGGCCUCUUUACCCUGUUACUUCCUUCUCACCAAAACAGAUGGAGAUGGACACAUGGAUCACUUAUUGCCAGGCUGUGAAGAUAAAAACUGCCAGAAAAGCAUCAUUUACUUAGCAAGAUCUGGAACAAAGCAGUGGAUUCCAGUUCUCCAGGAGUUCAGCAACAAGGGCACACUCUGGGGCUUUGUGCCAUUUGUGCAUGAACAACGGCCAACUGAAAUACCACUUCCAAUUACUCUUCAUAUGGAGACUACAACAUGGAUGGCUAU
Molecule: long non-coding RNA, 444 nt
Organism: Canis lupus familiaris (dog)
Lineage: Eukaryota; Metazoa; Chordata; Mammalia; Carnivora; Canidae
Exons: 4
Source: RefSeq, a predicted model, not a curated record